AGUUUGAUCCUGGCUCAGGAUGAACGCUAGCGGCAGGCCUAAUACAUGCAAGUCGAACGGUGAUAUUUAUAUCAUAGUGGCGCACGGGUGCGUAACACGUAUGCAACCUACCUAUUAUUGGGGGAUAGCCUUUGGAAACGGAGAUUAAUACCGCAUAAUACGAUUAACUGGCAUCGGUUGAUUGUUAAAACAUUUGCGAUAAUAGAUGGGCAUGCGUCCAAUUAGUUAGUUGGUGUGGUAAUGGCUCACCAAGACGAUGAUUGGUAGGGGAUCUGAGAGGAUAAUCCCCCACACUGGCACUGAGAUACGGGCCAGACUCCUACGGGAGGCAGCAGUAGGGAAUAUUGGGCAAUGGGCGGAAGCCUGACCCAGCCAUGCCGCGUGCAGGAAGACGGCGUUAUGCGUUGUAAACUGCUUUUUUAUAGGAAGAAGGAUCCCUUGCGAGGGAAGGUGACGGUACUAUAAGAAUAAGCACCGGCUAACUCCGUGCCAGCGGCCGCGGUAAUACGGAGGGUGCAAGCGUUGUCCGGAUUUAUUGGGUUUAAAGGGUGCGUAGGCGGUUUAUUAAGUCAGUGGUGAAAGACGGUCGCUCAACGAUUGCAGUGCCAUUGAUACUGGUAG
This 621-nucleotide ribosomal RNA is filed under the name uncultured bacterium. RNAcentral describes it as "bacterial SSU rRNA". It matches the Rfam family "Bacterial small subunit ribosomal RNA", at positions 10 to 639 of the family's 1533-position model. The record is from RNAcentral.